CCCAGGAUUGCAUACUUUGUACAUGGCGAUCCUAGCGUUUGGUGAACCUCCCUUAGCUGUUCCUGAAGCUACACCAUAGUAGGACGCGUUCUCCACGGCUGAUCCAGCUGCAGUGGAGGAGGUGUGAGUACCGUGACCGAUCACAUCCCUUGUGGUGAAGUAUUCUGAAUCAUCAUCAGAACUUUUGUAGAAUCUUGCUCCGAUUAUCUUUCUGAAAUAAGACAGUACUCAAUAAAAGUUAGCAACAUAAUAUAUAGUGUAAAUGUUUUGAAGUCUGUGAAAGAAAAUGUGUAACCUGUUACAGUUAGAAGAGUUGAAGUCCUUUGCUUCCAUGCAUGUACCUUUCCACCUAGAUGGAAUUGGACCCAUGUCUUUGUCAUUAAAACUCUCUGAUUCUGGCCAUAUUCCUGUUUUUUUUUCAUAUUGUAUCAAACUCAUAACUAUAUAUAUGAUGUUGUAAUGGAUGCAAUGAGUAAAAAGGCUUUACCUGUGUCUAGAAUACCGAUAAUGCUAUCGUAUGAUCCAGCUUCUGGUGAAGAAGGUGGACUAGAAUCGAUCUUUACAGCUGUUUGGUACUUGAGAAAAUCCCACGAAUGAGUUGUGUGAAGCUGGUAGUUUGGGUCAGGAAAAACCGACACGACUCCAGUUUUCUUGGCUAUGACUUUGGCCUCUUCAGCUGACAAACGAGCAGCGAAACCAGUGAACCCGUGUUUAUAUGUGUGGACGAUAUCAUUAGCUCUCCUACAACAACAAACCCAUCUCACAAUCCAGAAAAUAAAACUAUAUGUUAUUAUGUAAAUAACAAAUGCAUAUUAUGCUCAAUAACCUCUUAAACAUGGUGUUUAUGAGUAUCUGAGCUCUAUAAGCGUUUGCGGCAGAGGAAGCCGAUCCCAUGUAGACGAUGUAAACCCCAUCACCAUUUCUCAAUCCAGCUUCAGUUUCUGCCGUAAAUGAGAUGCAUAGAAGAUAGAGGAACAUUAAGGAGAAGGGUGAGAAGAAGAAGAAAAGACCUUUCAUGACUGAACUUUUUAGUCACUUAAAGACUAAUUAUUCACAUAGUAUAACACAAGCAAAGGGUAUUUAUAGAGGUUGAGAGAUGGUUGGAAACUAGAGAUAAAGCAAAAGGAAUCACGAGUCUCUAAUGCUUGAGUUGCUUAUCCCACUUUGAAGAGUUGGUGGGUUUUUGAAUUGGGCAGAAAGUUGAGAUAUAACAAGCUAGUGAUCUCACCACUAUCUUCUGUUCAAGUCAUUACAUCACUUCAACGUGUUAUUUUCUUCCAAUGUUCCAAAGACUUUGAACAAAAUGAUUACUACUUCAUUUCUUAUUUACACUUUGCAAACUUCAUCUCUAGAUAAGAUUAAGCCAUUUUAGUUUUGUGGUGCUGAGUGUAAGUGUCUAAUAAACAAAAGAUUCUUGACACAAAAUAAAAGAAUAUGAAUUAAGUCUACACUAAUUUCAAAGUAUUGAGGUUCAUAUACAUGUGCUCAUAUAAUAAUAAUCUCAUAAAAUGAUUGUUUAAGUAGCCAAUAAAAAGAGAAUGUGGUGCUGGCCUGAGUGCUAUUCAUAUGGAUUCUAUCCAAAGCAUGCUUACAAACUUCUAAUGUGUAACCGAGAGCAUAUACAUUUUUAUAUAGCAACUUCCAAAUUUUUCAUUUAAAAAAAAUAAUAUUGUAUUGCCGACGUUUUCAGUGGCUCAGAGUGGAAUGCACUCGUGCUACUUUGGGAAUGUAUGUAUUUAUCGUCAGUACCUUUCUUUUUGACUAAUACCUUUAAAUAACACCAAAUUAUGUUUAUAACAAAAUUUGUGCACAAAAAAAAAAUCCUAAAUAACAUUAAUUAGAAAUUCAAAACAUAUAUUUUAUUGUAUGUUUGGGUUUAAUGAUUAUGAUUUUGGGAGUGAGAUUAGAGUUUAGGAGUAUAAGAUGGAGCUCCAAGAGACAAAGAUAGAACAUCAACUCCAUCAGCUAUUGCAUCGUCGAAAGCAGCUAAGAUAGAGGAGCCAGCGCAUCCCCCAGGAUUGCAUACUUUGUACAUGGCGAUCCUAGCGUUUGGUGAACCUCCCUUAGCGGUUCCUGAAGCUACACCAUAGUAGGACGCGUUCUCCACGGCUGAUCCAGCUGCAGUGGACGAGGUGUGAGUACCGUGACCGAUCACAUCUCUUGUGGUGAAGUAUUCUGAAUCAUCAUCAGGACUUUUGUAGAAUCUUGCUCCGAUUAUCUUUCUG
This 2225-nucleotide long non-coding RNA is filed under the name Brassica napus (rape). Its description in RNAcentral is "long non-coding RNA (BNAP_LNC017383)". Lineage: Eukaryota; Viridiplantae; Streptophyta; Magnoliopsida; Brassicales; Brassicaceae. The record is from RNAcentral.